Molecule: long non-coding RNA, 556 nt
Organism: Salvia splendens (bonfire salvia)
Lineage: Eukaryota; Viridiplantae; Streptophyta; Magnoliopsida; Lamiales; Lamiaceae
Exons: 2
Source: RefSeq, a predicted model, not a curated record
GUAGACGAAAAACCAAAUACCAAAUUAUUGGUAUAAGCAAAACUUUAUUCUGACCUGAUUAGUUUAAAAUUGAAUUAAAAACAUUUACUAUUUUCCAAUGCAACGUCAACAUCGCCCUUCAAUAUUAGAAUAUAUUGUCCAAACAUUCCUACACAUAUAGUAGGCACCAAAAUCUGAUCUUCUCUCUCUACAAAUUUGUGGAUUUCUAAAGUUGAAGGAGAGGUGGAAGAAAAUGGUGAUGAUGGGGCUGGAGAGGUUGAUGAGCAGCUUGAAAUCGAAGGUGAUGAAGAACAUGAAAGUGAAGAACUCGUACGACAAGAUCGACAAGAGCGAGAGCAUGAGAGUCGAAAUCAGAAGCAGAAAGGCUCGCAAACUCAUCCAAGACACUCUCAGAAUUGCUGAUUCCCCUAAAACUAGAAGCUACACUCUCUAAUCUCUCCCCUCUCUACAUCUUUGUAUUACAUAUGUUUGUAGCUAUGUCCCAUCUUAAUUUUCAAUGUAAUGCUACUUAUUAAGUAUAUAUAUAUAUAUAUGUGUGUGUAAUGUUGAGUUUUAA